This 497-nucleotide ribosomal RNA is filed under the name uncultured bacterium. Its description in RNAcentral is "partial 16S ribosomal RNA". It matches the Rfam family "Bacterial small subunit ribosomal RNA", at positions 28 to 507 of the family's 1533-position model. The record is from RNAcentral.
GAUGAACGCUGGCGGCGUGCCUAGUACAUGCAAGUCGAGCGAACAGACGAGGAGCUUGCUCCUUUGACGUUAGCGGCGGACGGGUGAGUAACACGUGGGUAACCUACCUAUAAGACUGGGAUAACUUCGGGAAACCGGAGCUAAUACCGGAUAAUAUUUUGAACCGCAUGGUUCGAUAGUGAAAGAUGGCUUUGCUAUCACUUAUAGAUGGACCUGCGCCGUAUUAGCUAGUUGGUAAGGUAACGGCUUACCAAGGCAACGAUACGUAGCCGACCUGAGAGGGUGAUCGGCCACACUGGAACUGAGACACGGUCCAGACUCCUACGGGAGGCAGCAGUAGGGAAUCUUCCGCAAUGGGCGAAAGCCUGACGGAGCAACGCCGCGUGAGUGACGAAGGUCUUCGGAUCGUAAAACUCUGUUAUUAGGGAAGAACAAACGUGUAAGUAACUGUGCACGUCUUGACGGUACCUAAUCAGAAAGCCACGGCUAACUACGUG